RNAcentral lists this long non-coding RNA (9819 nucleotides) under Ananas comosus (pineapple). RNAcentral's name for it is "long non-coding RNA (ACOM_LNC034964)". Lineage: Eukaryota; Viridiplantae; Streptophyta; Magnoliopsida; Poales; Bromeliaceae. The record is from RNAcentral.
GAAAAGCUCGAAAUACAUUCAAACACUCGAACCUCGCAAUUUGCAAAGGUCCAGUGUGUUACAUAUAUCUACAUGUUCACAAGUAAUAUCAUGAUUUACUUUAUACAAAUAUGAAAGUGGUACUUUGUCAUGACUACAAUGCAUAUAAGGAUGUAAUAAACAACAUCUCCUAGCAUACUACAUGUAUGUAUGAAUACCCAAAUGUCCACAACUAUGCUAGAGGUAAGUCCAUGUAAUCCUACUACCACUCUCUGUCUAGUAGUGAUCAUAAUAAACUCAACACCGUGUCGAUUUUCAUUUCCAAUUAAGGACCUACCAAAGGAAGUCCAGCUUGUGCCGCCUAAGUGCCUGUGGUAGCCCGACAUCCCUACUCUUGGAAUGUGUCUGUCCCACUCGACCCCGUAGGCUUCUCAAUACCGCANNNNNNNNNNNNNNNNNNNNNNNNNGAUGCUAACCAAAUCUCUAGUCAUGAUGUCACCAAGUUUACUAUUGUCUUGGUCCUUUACAGUUUCAUACAUUCAUAGGGUUCUAUGUCCACAUUCUAAUGUUCAUGUGUAAGAUCUGGUCCUCUUUUAGAGGAUUCAAUAACUGACAAUACUACAAUUUAACUUCUAACUAGCUCUUUAUGCUAGUUUCACAAUUUCACUGUUUAUCUCACAAUGCUAUCCAAUUCUCAAGUAGAAUGUCACCAAGUUCACUAUUGUCAAAGUCCAUGCAUUCAUAGGGUUCUAUGUCCACAAUCUAGGUUCACAAAUUCUUAUUGUUGAUAGGAAUUCACAUUUUCACUCGCUCAAUGCCAAACACCCUAUAAUGCAUGACUACAAAUAUAAAUAUGCUCAACGGAGAAUUAUAGACAUAAAAGGUGAUUCAAAGAGUUCGGAUAGCACCACCCACCUGUAGUGGUGUCAAUCAACUAGAAUCCACGUCUCAGAAAGCGUCGACGACUAUCUCUCGCGACUCCGUGCAAAUAGGACUAAAGCGGUCUCUAUCGUAAUUAGCGUGUCGUCGACCUGUCGGAAAGUCAAUUUAGACUCUUGGGCAUGUUUCCAUUUCACUUAUAAAGGAUUAGAAAAGAUUAAACUAGAGUCAUUACACAUAAUUGACAAGUUAGCAUUUCAAUGCUAUAUAAAGCGGCAAUUAUAGCAAAAAACCUUCUUUUGGCGAUAUCUUUGCGUAGGUUCGUUGGAUUGCCGAACCGACUUCGCCAACGCGUUUCUUUUACCCUCAAUUUGGUUUACACGCGGUCAAUUUCGCAUUAGGACUCUUAUUUUGCAAAAGUGCAUUGUCGGGGUCAAUUUUCAAUACAAACCCAUUUCAAUGCAAUUUCACUUUCAAUGCAAUUGCAAUUUCACAAUUACAUCGAGUUCUUUCAACUCGUUCUUUCUCGUUUUCUUUCUCUCAUUUUUCCUCUCUUCUAUUUCUUUUUUCUUUCUUCCAUUCUUUUCCUCAUUCUUUCCUUUCUCUUUUCUUACUUUCUUUCUUUCUUUCUUUCUUUCAUUCUUUCUUUCCUUUCUUUCCUGCAGGUUUUUCUUGUCUUUCUUUAUUGCUUUCUUUCCUUCUUUUCUUCCUUUGCAGGACAGCUUCUACUGCUGUUACUGCUGCUGCUACUGAAGCUUCUGCUGCUGCUAAUAGCAGCUGCGCAAGCUGCUGCUGCUGACUGCUUGCCCUGCUGCUGCUGCUGCCUGCUUGCCCUGCUGCUGCUGACUGCUCAGCAGCAGGCUGAGCUGCUGUUGCUACUCAGCUCAGCAGGGCUGAGCUGCUGAUGCUGCUGCUGCUAUUAUUGCAGCUGCUGCUGAUGCUAACUGCUGGUGCCACUGCUGCUGCUGCUAGCUGCAGCUGCUGCUGCUGUUUGCUGCUGCUGCUGCUGAGCAAGCUGCUACUGCAGCUUGCUGCUGCUGCUAAUCCUGCUGCUGAUCCAGCAGCUGCUGCUGCUGGCUGCUCCAGCAGCAGCUGCUGAUGCUACUGCUGCUGCUGCUGUUCCUGCUCAACAGCUAGCUGAGCUGCUGCUGCUGUUGAUAGGGAAGAAGAGUGAGGGGGAAAAAGAUAGCAAGGAGAGAGGGAGAGAGAUUAAAUUUCUUACCUUUUUCUUCUUCCUUUUCUUCUCCUGCUACUCUUUUCUCUUCUUUUCUUCUUCUCUCUCUUUUCUCCUUCUCUCUCUCUCUACGUAUGGAACCAGGGUGAAGCAGAGGGGAUAAGAAUGAAGGCCUCCCUGCUGCCAGAUUAGUGGAAAUCCACUAACUUAGUGAUAAAUGACCAUAAUGCCCCUCGACUUAAGUUCGUUUAGUCGCACGGAUUAGAUACCUUUUGCAGGCUCUUCCGACAGUCCGAUUGAGCUCAAAUUUGGCAGGAAUGUUCGUUUUUACUUGACAAGUCCACUGAAAUUUUAACAUUUCAGUUUCGACCCCGUUUGGUCACUGCGAACUGUCCUGAACUGUAAUCUUUAUCAGAUAACUUCCAGAUGCUAUUUCUCUCUCUACAGGUGUCAGAAAAAUCUGAAACUUCAAAACUAGCCUUAUAAUAAUGUUCCUGACAUCUCUGCCAAUUUUUGUAAUUUUCUGACACUGUGCAUUUUCUGCUAAUUUUCUCAGUCCCGUUUCUUACAGAAAAUUCUAAAAUUUCCGUUUUCGCUCCGAUUUCACCCAAACACUUCUAAAAUACACCAAGGGACCUUCCCAAGCUACCAAUUUAAUUUGGAAGCAAUUUCUUUUCAUUUUGACAUUAUUUGAGCCGAAUUAGAAAUAGAAUCGGCUCUAAUUCCAUUACAUGACCUUUUUGCACUACCACUUCGCACUGAGCUCUUCAAAACCCUGUGAAAACACACCCUUGGCUUUACCAAAACUUCACAAUUGAUUCGGAGGUACCACAAUUUAUCCUUACACCUUACUUUAAUUCUUUUAAUCAAAGUUAGCGUCGGAAUUUCGAAAAUUCUCUUUACUCUCUUUACAUUUCGUUUCGCGCCCAAUUUGCGCCGAAACACUUAUUUCUCUUUGGAACUCAUUCCAACGCAUCACAAAUCCCUCGGGGAUGAUGUCCAACUAGCUCAAUCCUCACUUUGACCCUCUAGGUCAAAGUUGACAUUGCAGCUUCAGGAUGCCAUAUAUUACACACAAGCAUGUGCGAAUGAGCACAAAUGGCAAGCAAGCAUAGUCAACGUCUCAAAUACCCAAUCAUCAUGUCUCUAACAUGGCAAUAUUCACUAGCAUCUCGAAGAUCUAGUUCUAGGUCACAAUGUGAAAUUUUAAUAUUCACUAAGUCUAGUGCCCCUUUAUGACACUUAGACACUUCGAUGAACAAGCACACUCCAACUCUCUCAAUGGCACUAUCCACUAAAUUCACACAUAACCCNAACUCAUAAUGUCCAUACCGUGUUCUAAAAGCCGUCUUCGAUACAUCCUCAGGUCUGAUCCUCAACUGGUGAUAUCCCGACUGCAAGUCAAUCUUGGAAUAUACACAAGAUCCCUGGAGUUGAUCAAAUAGAUCAUCAAUCCUCGGCAAUGGAUACUUGUUCUUGAUCGUGACUUUGUUAAGUUCACGAUAAUCCACACACAAGCGAAGUGAUCCAUCCUUUUUCUUCACAAAUAGGACCGGUGCUCCCCAAGGUGACACACUCGGUCUCACGAAACCUUUAUCCAGAAGAUCCUGCAACUGUGCCUUCAAUUCCCUCAACUCUGCUUGUGCCAUCCUAUAGGGUGCCUUUGAGAUCGGAGUAGUCCCGGGAACGAGAUCUACCACAAACUCAAUCUCCCUAUCAGGUGGCAUGCCUGGAAGCUCCGCUGGGAACACGUCUCCAAACUCUCGCACUACGGGGAUAUCCUCAAUCCUAGGGGUGUCCGCAUCGCCACGCAACACGACAGUAGCCAAAUAAGCUACGCAGCCUCUACUAAUCAAUUGCCUAGCUCGAGAGAAGUUAAUCGUCAUCGCAAACAGCGAACUCUGGCAUCCUCGGUACACAACCUCCGCCUGCCCCGGCUCUCUAAACGUCACCGUUCGAUCCUUGCAAUCGAUAGUGGCGUAGUACUUAGUUAACCAGUCCAUGCCCAAUACUACAUCAAACUUCCCGAGUUUAUGCAACACUAACAAGUCUACGGGCAUGAUCCAAUCUCCAACCCGAAUAGGGCAACUGGGGCAAAACUCCCGAAUGUCCAAAGAAUGAUCGGGUACAACAACUCGGCCCGGAUGUAGCAAAGAUACAUGUGGGAUGUCAUGCAGCUCGGCAAACAGCCGAUCAAUGAAUGAAUGCGAUGCACCGGUAUCAAACAAAGCUCUAGCUCGAGUACCAUAAAGUAAAAUGAUACCUGCGACCACAUUCUCGGCUGCUGCAGCCUCCUCAGUCUGGGCCGCGUACAUGCGCCCGCUCGGGGCCUGUCGUGACCCCUCCGCCUGUCGCAGAACUGGCGGCCGUCCUGCCUGGUGAUGCGCAGAAGAUGUCCCCUGGCUGGGACCUGGCGAAGCUGGUGCAGAUGCCGAAGAUGGCGCUGGCAAUGGACUCCUCGGGCAGUCCGACUGGAAGUGGCCCUCCUGGCCAUACAAGAAGCACCUGCCCCGGCUGCGCGAACACUGUCGCGGGUAAUGAGGACCGCCACAGAUCACGCAGCGGGGGGCCUGACGACGAUCGGGUCCUCCUCGCUGAGUGGACUGGCCACGUCCUCGCGACUGGCUCCGGCUCCUGGGGUGCCUCGGCGGCCUCCGUGAGUGCGUCUGACUCGCACCCUCAGCCGCGGGCCUCUUGCCCUUCCCUUUCUCCAAGCUCUCGCGACGCUCCUGCAGAUCCGCCGCUCCGGCCUCCACUAUCAAAGCUCGAUCUACAACCUCCCGGUAGGUCUGGAGGUUGGAAGACUGCACCAACCGGAAAAUAGAAGGCCGCAAACCGCGCUCAAAGAUGCGGGCCUUGUCCUCGUCAUCCCGCACCACAAAAGGCACACAAUGGAGUAAUCGAGAAAACUCCCUCUCGUACUCGGCCACAGACCGCUCAUCCUGGCGCAAGCUGCGCAAGUCCUGCUCCAUCUUCCUCUUGACGCUGGUCGGGAAGUAGUGCGCCAGAAGAAGCUCCUUGAAUCGCGUCCAUGUGACCGCUGUCAAGUCGGUGCUGGGAUUGUCCUGGAUAUCCAACCACCAAUGGUAGGCCUCGCCGUCCAGAAAGUGAGUGGUGAGCCAAACCCUGUCCCUCUCCUCAACGAAGGUAUCUCGAAAUAGCUUCUCUAUAUGCAUCAACCACUUCUCAACAAUCCAGUGGUCGACGUUCUCGCCAUUAAACAUCCUCGGGCUGCACCUCCUGAACUCACUGAGGCGCUCCAUGAGCCGAUCCCGCUCGGCUCCCUCGGCCAUCACGGGGAAUGCCGCCCCCCUCGCCGGUCUCUUAACUGGGGGUACCGCAGCCACCUCUUCCCGAGGUGUGGUCGCCGGUGCCGCACGGGAAGAACUAGGCGCGGGGGACUGCGCCCUCGGUGCGACGUCCACCACGGGUGCUGGCGGUGUGGGACCCUGGGUCUCCCUCGAAGCUGCCGCUUGCUGAAGUAGGAGGUCCUCCAGAUGUUUCAUCGGCGCCUCCUGCCACUGAGCCACCUCAGCCUGUCGCUGCGCUGCUGCCGUCUGCUGCGCCAACAGAUCAGUGAAAACCGCAAGCUGGGCCCUCAAGUCACGGACCUCACUAGAUCUGGAAGUAGCGGAGGUCUCAACCUCCUCGGGAUGUGCCGCAUCAUCCGCCCCGGCAGACUGGGAGCGUGCAAUCGGCAUCGUCACUACAAAACAUAAAAGCGCAAGUUAAUAACCCACGCUAUCGCUUCCCCGCUCGAAAUAAUGAAACCCAAAAUCAUGCGAAAGUAAGGAAGUGUCCUUCACUACUAACUCCCGAUGUUACGUUGUCGGCCGCCAACAUAACCCUCCGCGAAGUUAGAAGCCAUACACUCCGAUCAAACUCUAAGUUUUUAGAGUUGUCAUAAACCCAACCAUAAUACUUUCGCUCACAAGUCAAUUAGACCUCGUCUCUCACGAGCCUAAUUCCUAUAGUCCAACCGGCCUAAGGUUCGCUAGGUUCACUAAGACUCAACCCUAGGCUCUGAUACCAAAUUAAUCUGUCACGCCUCGGGACCGACGGAGGCCCUCCCGGUGGCGUGCCCAGACCCGCCAUAUGUCUAUACAUAUAAGGCGUCUACAACAAAGCGGGAGUAAAAGCGAGAAAUAGAACGAAUAGAAUAAUAACAACUAACGAUAUCAGAGCGAGUAAGGUUCUAUCAUCUAAACCAGAGUAAAAGAAAUAUAACUAAACAAAGUAAGUAAAGCAUAAGGUGAUACAAUACUAACACCUCAAAGAAAUACCAAGAUCCAAAAGAAAGGUGGUCUCUAUACAUAUACGGGUACAACUCACAACCUCUCACAACAUAAAAACAUCGAGAGGUAGACCACCUAGCGACUCGUCACUCGCUGAAGAGCUAGCUCGAAGACACGCCCUUUCCUCGAUCCUUAGCCUCUCCCGGCGUGGAAGGCUCUGAAAGAAAACAUAAAACAGAGGGCGUUAGAACUAUAAUUUAUAGUUCCCAGUGGGCAAUUACUGACCUCAGCUCAAUGCACCACUAGGCCCCAAAAGAAAGGGUAAGUCUAACAAUAAUAGUAAAGAGUAAAUUGCAUAUAAGAAAGCAUAAUUAAGAUGCUAAGCUACGGCUUGCAAUUAAACAUGGCAUUUAUAAUGCGACUUUAUCUUGUCAUGGAUGAUAUAUAUCUACAUGUUCACAAGUAAUAUCAUGAUUUACUUUAUACAAAUAUGAAAGUGGUACUUUGUCAUGACUACAAUGCAUAUAAGGAUGCAAUAAACAACAUUUCCUAGCAUACCACAUGUAUGUAUGAGUACCCAAAUGUCCACAACUAUGCUAGAGGUAAGUCCAUGUAAUCCUACUACCACUCUCUGUCUAGUAGUGAUCAUAAUAAACUCAACACCGUGUCGAUUUUCAUUUCCAAUUAAGGACCUACCAAAGGUAGUCCAGCUUGUGCCGCCUAAGUGCCUGUGGUAGCCCGACAUCCCUACUCUUGGAAUGUGUCUGUCCCACUCGACCCCGUAGGCUUCUCAAUACCGCACGAGCGAACAUAAGUCGCGUAGGCUAACUCCGAAGUGCCGGCUUGUAGGGAGCGACCCUCACAAGCAUGUGCGAAUGAGCACAAAUGGCAAGCAAGCAUAGUCAACGUCUCAAAUACCCAAUCAUCAUGUCUCUAACAUGGCAAUAUUCACUAGCAUCUCGAAGAUCUAGUUCUAGCUCACAAUGUGAAAUUCUAAUAUUCACUAAGUCUAGUGCCUCUUUAUGACACUUAGACAUUUCGAUGAACAAGCACACUCCAACUCUCUCAAUGGCACUAUCCACUAAAUUCACACAUAACCCGAGCUCGAUGCCCCUUUAUGAUAUUAGCUCAAUUGUACACAAGUAGUGCAAAUCCCCGAGCCCUUUUAUGGCUCACUAGGAACUUUUAAAUCUUGAAUAGAAAUAACUUUAAAUGCAUGCAUGAGAUGUUCGUUUUUACCAUAGAAAUUAUGAUUCCAAGUCUCAAUAGGAUGCUAAACCUGUUCAAGUUCCACAUGCUAGCUCUCUACUACAUAGAGGUCCGAAAUUUUCACCACAUGUAACGUAGGCAAAUUAAGCCUUCUAAAAAUCAUAAUAAAUGUAUCUAGCAUGGAAAUACAUGAAUAAACAUUUAACAGUACUCAAAUCAACACCAAUGAGAUUUUCUCAUUGUGUGGCUAGGCCAAACCCACCGAACCGUAGCGUGCUCCUUCGAUUCGCCGAACGGAGUUGUCCACGAGUCUCAAAGUACCCUAAAAGUGAUCAGCGAAGAGAUACGAGGGCAUUACGACCAACCAUAAGAUCAAACUUUAACUUAGAAGCAAAAAGGGCCAAAACUCACCUCAAGGAAAGAAAUCUCUUCCAAAGCUCCAAAAGAGAGCUAGAGCCCUUCCAAUUCAAGCCCGAGGAAGGUUCUAAACCAAUCAAUCUAGCCUCAAAAGCCCUAGAUCAAAAAGCCCCAAAAUCAACCCUAAAUCUCAUUUCUAGGGUUUCAUCUUCCAAAAAUCACCAAAACGAGAAUCUAUAGGAAGAAACAUGUUACUAACCCUUUAGAAGCUUCAAUCCAAGCUCAAAAUGCCCAAGGGUUGAAGUUUGGUCCACCACUAAGCUCCAAGGGCAAGCUCCAAGUCCUCUACAAGCUCUUCUUCUCCUUCCUUCUCCUUCCUCUCCCACUCUUUCUCUCUCUAGAAGUAAAAGAAAUGGUGAAAUGAGGAAGGGGAGAAGGAGAAGUGGCCAUAUAAGCCUUCUCUUGUAACAAAAUCCUGUGAGGCACCUCAAAAAUUCAAUAUUACAUCAGCCCGGUCUGGGCAGUUUUCACCCAGAGGGACCGGUCUCUCCCCAGCAGGGACCGGUCUCUCGCUGCGAACUCGAAAAACCAACGUUCGGGAACCGGCCUCUCCCUGCGCGGGACCGGUCUCUCACUGCGUAGAUGCGCUCGGGGACCGGUCUCGCCCGCCGGGGACCAGUCUCGCCCGCCAGGGACCAGUUGCCUCACGGCUGCCGCAACACUGCUCACUGGGGGACCGGUCUCUCCUUCCAGGGACCGGUCCCCGAGAGUAAAAACUCUCAGGACUUGCCCAGAAUUCCAGUUUUCGAACUUUUUAGGUCGGAAAACAUUCAACAACCCUCCACCAAGUAUGGAAAAGCUCGAAAUAUAUUCAAACACUCGAACCUCGCAAUUUGCAAAGGUCCAGUGUGCUAUAUACUUGGUCAACCAAUUCAUGCCCAACACAACAUCAAACUUCCCGAGUUUAUGCAAAGCUAACAAGUCCACGGGCAUGAUCCAAUCUCCAACCCGAAUAGGGCAACUGGGGCAAAACUCCCGAAUGUCCAAAGAAUGAUCGGGUACAACAACUCGGCCCGGAUGUAACAAGGAUACAAGUGGGAUGCCAUGCAGCUCGGCAAACAGCCGAUCAAUGAAUGAAUGCGAUGCACCGGUAUCAAACAAUGUUCUAACUCGAAUAGUGAGGACCGCACAAGAAGCACACAAGAAGCACCUGCCCCGACUGCGUGAAAACUGCCGCGGGUAGUGAGGACCGCCACAGAUCACGCAGCGAGGGGCCUGGCGUCGAUCGGGUCCUCCUCGCUGGGUAGACUAGCCGCGUCCUCGCGACUGGCUCCUGCUCCUGGGAUGUCUCGGCGGCCUCCGUGAGUGCGUCUGACUCGCACCCUCAGCCGCUGGCCUCUUGCCCUUGCCCUUAUCUAGGGCCUCGCGUCGCUCCUUAAGAUCUGCCGCUCCUGCCUCCACUAUGAAUGCUCGAUCCACAACCUCCCGAUAGGUCUGGAGGUUGGAAGACUGCACCAACCGGAAGAUAGAAGGCCGCAAACCGCGCUCAAAGAUGCGUGUCUUGUCCUCGUCGUCCCGCACCACAAAAGGCACACAAUGAAGUAUCCGGGAGAACUCCCUCUCGUACUCAGUCACUGACCGCUCAUCCUGGCGCAAAUUGCGCAAAUCCUGCUCCAUCUUCCUCUUGAUGCUAGUAGGAAAGUGGUGCACCAGAAGAAGCUCCUUGAACCUCGUCCAAGUAAUCGCUGCCAAGUCGGUGUUGGGGUUGUCCUGGAUAUCCAACCACCAACGGUAGGCCUCGCCGUCCAGAAAGUGAGUGGCGAGCCAAACUCUGUCUCGCUCCUCUACAAAGGUGUCUCGAAACAGCUUCUCCAUAUGCAUCAACCACUUCUCAACAAUCCAGUGGUCGACGUUCUCGCCAUCAAACGUCCUCGGGCUGCACCUCCUGAACUCACUGAGGCGCUCCAUAAGCCGAUCCCGCUCGGC